UGGUGUUACUAUGGAAGACCAAGACGCUAAUAGUGAACGUGCUCGAGCAGCUUUGUGCACCAAUCUGGCACUAGUGCGUAUUCUUAAGAGUGAUUUAUCUGAGGCAGAACGCUUACUUCUCAGGG
Molecule: non-coding RNA, 125 nt
Filed under: Aurantiochytrium limacinum
Lineage: Eukaryota; Bigyra; Thraustochytrida; Thraustochytriidae
Source: RNAcentral